RNAcentral lists this ribosomal RNA (358 nucleotides) under uncultured Alphaproteobacteria bacterium. RNAcentral's name for it is "bacterial SSU rRNA". It matches the Rfam family "Bacterial small subunit ribosomal RNA", at positions 114 to 507 of the family's 1533-position model. Lineage: Bacteria; Pseudomonadati; Pseudomonadota; Alphaproteobacteria. The record is from RNAcentral.
CGCGUGGGAACGUACCCUUUGGUACGGAAUAGCCCCGGGAAACUGGGAGUAAUACCGUAUGGUGUCUUCGGACUAAAGAUUUAUCGCCAAAGGAUCGGCCCGCGUUGGAUUAGGUAGUUGGUGGGGUAAUGGCCUACCAAGCCGACGUUCCAUAGCUGGUUUGAGAGGAUGAUCAGCCACACUGGGACUGAGACACGGCCCAGACUCCUACGGGAGGCAGCAGUGGGGAAUCUUAGACAAUGGGCGCAAGCCUGAUCUAGCCAUGCCGCGUGAGUGAUGAAGGCCCUAGGGUUGUAAAGCUCUUUCAGCUGGGAAGAUAAUGACGGUACCAGCAGAAGAAGCCCCGGCUAACUCCGUG